This 264-nucleotide ribosomal RNA is filed under the name uncultured prokaryote. RNAcentral's name for it is "partial 16S ribosomal RNA". It matches the Rfam family "Bacterial small subunit ribosomal RNA", at positions 524 to 788 of the family's 1533-position model. The record is from RNAcentral.
UACGUAGGGGCAAGCGUUGUCCGGAAUUAUUGGGCGUAAAGCGCGCGCAUGCGGUCUUUUAAGUCUGAUGUGAAAGCCCACGGCUUAACCGUGGAGGGUCAUUGGAAACUGGUCGACUUGAGUGCAGAAGAGGGAAGUGGAAUUCCAUGUGUAGCGGUGAAAUGCGUAGAGAUAUGGAGGAACACCAGUGGCGAAGGCGGCUUCCUGGUCUGUAACUGACACUGAGGCGCGAAAGCGUGGGGAGCAAACAGGAUUAGAUACCCU